CUGUGGGGUUUGCUAGUCUGUCUGAGGUUAUAUUUUAGAGACUACUUGAUAUGUACUUAAGAAUAUUUCGAGCAAAUCGAUCACCAAAUUUUUAUAUGAGAUAUAGACUUGGAUAAUUCGAUGCUCUCUUACCUUAGGAUUGGGGGUGUUUGGUUUAUGUGAAACAUUCAUAAAUCGAUUAGCUUGGAUUUUGGUCGGAUAAAUAU
Molecule: long non-coding RNA, 206 nt
Filed under: Elaeis guineensis (African oil palm)
Lineage: Eukaryota; Viridiplantae; Streptophyta; Magnoliopsida; Arecales; Arecaceae
Description: long non-coding RNA (EGUI_LNC042442)
Source: RNAcentral